Non-coding RNA from Caenorhabditis elegans, 88 nucleotides. NCBI's taxonomy places the organism in Eukaryota, Metazoa, Nematoda, Chromadorea, Rhabditida, Rhabditidae. The record is from Ensembl.
CCUAACUCUAAGCCUAAGCCUAAGCCUACGCCUAAGACUAAACCUUAGACAAAGCCGAAGUCUGAGCCGAAGCUUGAGACUAGGCCUA